Long non-coding RNA from Talpa occidentalis (Iberian mole), 1177 nucleotides. RefSeq lists it as uncharacterized. The record is from RefSeq and is a predicted model, not a curated record. The transcript is spliced from 5 exons. Lineage: Eukaryota; Metazoa; Chordata; Mammalia; Eulipotyphla; Talpidae.
GCGGCCCCCGCCCUCCCGCUGGAGAACAGUCCUGCUGCUCUUGAACCUGGGAGGAAAUUGGCUGAUGUUCUUGUAGCCGUCUUGACACCAUGGGAAUGGAGCCAUACCAGAGGAAGGAGAUAAGAGAAGGAGAGAAAGACCAGGGCCUGACAGUUCCAUUGGAGUCCCUGGAUAAAGCUUUACCUGAGGUUCAUGUUCCCCAGAAUUUGCAGUUAUGUGAGCCAAGUUUAAGCUGGACUUUCUAUCUCUGGGCACAGAUUUGGAGUGUGUGUGCAGAGACCUGCGAAGCCCUCUGGCUUGACACCCAGAAAUGGAGGCUGUGGUCCCCAGACCUUUCCCAAAGAACCGAAGAGCACUGUGUUCUGAAAGGCCACAGUCUCCUUACACCACCUGUGUUGCCGGUAACACCGAGGUGCAAAAUUGGCCACCCCAGAGAGGUAAUUUUAUGGGGUGGAACAGAACAAUUGCUUCUGCUGGAUUUCCGAUGCUUUCCAAAGGCUGAGCUGAUGCCUGCACCAUGAAGCCUAAAUGUCUCAUGUCCUUGAGCUGAACCUCUUGGUAGAGGAAUGAGUGUUUCUGCUUCUCCUGCCACUCCUUAUGGAUUGUCUAUCCAGGAAACACCUCUGAGGACAUUGGGCCUUUCUGAAGACUUUAAGGUGCCAAAUCCCAGGUGAGAAGGAUGUUUGAGCACAGCCCAAAGAAAAUUACAUGGUUUGAACUUUAAUCAAGACCCCCAGUCAAAGGCAGCAUGUGACAGACCUUCCACACUUGCCAGAAUGUUAAAAUGGGCCUCUCUCACAGAGACUGGCCAGAGAUAACACCGAGCAGCAGCCAGAAGCCUCUCAUUGUGUGAAGCCUGUGAUCCAGCCUGGGCCGAGUCCACAGCAUUGCAUGCCUGUGCCACCAGGCUACUCUAGCCUCCUGUUUCCUAGCUCUUCAUGAAUCCCAAGAAAGAGAAGACACCACUAGCAACCUGAUUGCCAAGGACCUUCCACUCGAUGCCCCCCUCCCACCCCAGUCAGGUGUCAUCUUUAUAGGUAACAUGGGAAAUGAUGUGAAGGAAAGCAGAGCAGGCCUGUGAGGCACGAGAUCCCAGGUCCCCAGUGUACAACCCUGCUUAGUAAAUAGGUGGGGCCCUAUCCAUGUGAGGUACAGGGUGGGUGUGGGUGUUCCUUAU